Molecule: transfer RNA, 82 nt
Filed under: Achromobacter pestifer
Lineage: Bacteria; Pseudomonadati; Pseudomonadota; Betaproteobacteria; Burkholderiales; Alcaligenaceae
Description: tRNA-Val
Source: RNAcentral
GCUGCCGAUAGCACGGCCGUUCGCGCCGCGCAAGCCUUGACGAGGUUGGGCUAUACCCAGGUGCAUCGCCUGGCCGGCGGCA